UACGUAGGUGGCAAGCGUUGUCCGGAUUUACUGGGCGUAAAGGGCGUGCAGGCGGUUUGUUAAGUGCAGGGUGAAAGCUCCCGGCUCAACUGGGAGAGGUCCUUGCAUACUGGCGAACUCGAGGGAGGCAGAGGAAAGUGGAAUUCCCGGUGUAGUGGUGAUAUGCGUAGAUAUCGGGAGGAACACCUGUGGCGAAGGCGGCUUUCUGGGCCUUACCUGACGCUGAGACGCGAAAGCGUGGGUAGCAAACAGG
Molecule: ribosomal RNA, 253 nt
Filed under: uncultured bacterium
Lineage: Bacteria
Description: partial 16S ribosomal RNA
Rfam family: Bacterial small subunit ribosomal RNA
Source: RNAcentral